This 425-nucleotide ribosomal RNA is filed under the name uncultured bacterium. Its description in RNAcentral is "bacterial SSU rRNA". It matches the Rfam family "Bacterial small subunit ribosomal RNA", at positions 355 to 773 of the family's 1533-position model. The record is from RNAcentral.
UUUCGAAUCAUUCACAAUGGGCGAAAGCCUGAUGGUGCGACGCCGCGUGAGGGAUGAAGGCCUUCGGGUUGUAAACCUCUGUCACCGGGGAAGAAACGCUUCACGUUAAUAGCUUGAAGCCUGACUUAACCCGGAGAGGAAGCAGUGGCUAACUCUGUGCCAGCAGCCGCGGUAAUACAGAGACUGCAAGCGUUAUUCGGAUUCACUGGGCGUAAAGGGUGCGCAGGCGGCCGUGUGUGUGAGGCGUGAAAGCCUGGAGCUUAACUCCAGAAUUGCACCUCAAACUACAUGGCUAGAGCAUUGGAGAGGGUAGCAGAAUUCAUGGUGUAGCAGUGAAAUGCGUAGAUAUCAUGAGGAAUACCAGAGGCGAAGGCGGCUACCUGGACAAUUGCUGACGCUCAGGCACGAAAGCGUGGGGAGCAAAA